AUCUAAGUACCCCGAGGAAAAGAAAUCAACCGAGAUUCCCCCAGUAGCGGCGAGCGAACGGGGAGGAGCCCAGAGCCUGAAUCAGCAUGUGUGUUAGUGGAAGCGUCUGGAAAGGCGCGCGAUACAGGGUGACAGCCCCGUACACAAAAGCGCAUGUGCUGUGAGCUCGAUGAGUAGGGCGGGACACGUGGUAUCCUGUCUGAAUAUGGGGGGACCAUCCUCCAAGGCUAAAUACUCCUGACUGACCGAUAGUGAACCAGUACCGUGAGGGAAAGGCGAAAAGAACCCCGGCGAGGGGAGUGAAAAAGAACCUGAAACCGUGUACGUACAAGCAGUGGGAGCACAGGUUUACCUGUGUGACUGCGUACCUUUUGUAUAAUGGGUCAGCGACUUAUAUUCUGUAGCAAGGUUAACCGUAUAGGGGAGCCGGAGGGAAACCGAGUCUUAACCGGGCGUUAAGUUGCAGGGUAUAGACCCGAAACCCGGUGAUCUAGCCAUGGGCAGGUUGAAGGUUGGGUAACACUAACUGGAGGACCGAACCGACUAAUGUUGAAAAAUUAGCGGAUGACCUGUGGCUGGGGGUGAAAGGCCAAUCAAACCGGGAGAUAGCUGGUUCUCCCCGAAAGCUAUUUAGGUAGCGCCUCGUGAAUUCAUCUCCGGGGGUAGAGCACUGUUUCGGCUAGGGGGCCAUCCCGGCUUACCAACCCGAUGCAAACUGCGAAUACCGGAGAAUGUUAUCACGGGAGACACACGGCGGGUGCUAACGUCCGUCGUGAAGAGGGAAACAACCCAGACCGCCAGCUAAGGUCCCAAAGUCAUGGUUAAGUGGGAAACGAUGUGGGAAGGCCCAGACAGCCAGGAUGUUGGCUUAGAAGCAGCCAUCAUUUAAAGAAAGCGUAAUAGCUCACUGGUCGAGUCGGCCUGCGCGGAAGAUGUAACGGGGCUAAACCAUGCACCGAAGCUGCGGCAGCGAACGUAUCACCCAAGACAACUUUACGGAGUUGACGAUUGACGGAGCGAAGCGACGUCAAAGCGUUCAUUAAAGUCGAGUUGGCUUAGGGAUACGUUCGUUGGGUAGGGGAGCG
RNAcentral lists this ribosomal RNA (1085 nucleotides) under Salmonella enterica. RNAcentral describes it as "partial 23S ribosomal RNA". It matches the Rfam family "Bacterial large subunit ribosomal RNA", at positions 200 to 1238 of the family's 2925-position model. Lineage: Bacteria; Pseudomonadati; Pseudomonadota; Gammaproteobacteria; Enterobacterales; Enterobacteriaceae. The record is from RNAcentral.